RNAcentral lists this ribosomal RNA (235 nucleotides) under uncultured bacterium. RNAcentral's name for it is "partial 16S ribosomal RNA". It matches the Rfam family "Bacterial small subunit ribosomal RNA", at positions 82 to 334 of the family's 1533-position model. The record is from RNAcentral.
ACCUUCGGGUCUAGUGGCGCACGGGUGCGUAACGCGUGGGAAUCUGCCCUUCGGUUCGGAAUAACAGUUAGAAAUGACUGCUAAUACCGGAUAAUGUCUUCGGACCAAAGAUUUAUCGCCGAGGGAUGAGCCCGCGUAGGAUUAGCUAGUUGGUGAGGUAAAAGCUCACCAAGGCGACGAUCCUUAGCUGGUCUGAGAGGACGACCAGCCACACCGGGACUGAGACACGGCCCGG